RNAcentral lists this unclassified non-coding RNA (267 nucleotides) under fungal sp. Its description in RNAcentral is "partial internal transcribed spacer region". The stretch from base 1 to 46 matches the Rfam family "Eukaryotic small subunit ribosomal RNA", at positions 1786 to 1831 of the family's 1831-position model. Lineage: Eukaryota; Fungi. The record is from RNAcentral.
AAGUCGUAACAAGGUUUCCGUAGGUGAACCUGCGGAAGGAUCAUUACAAAUGCGUCACCAGAUGUGUGAUGGCAACAUUGACCCUGUUGAAUGGUGACUAAGGGGGGCGAAUGGCCGCUAACUGGAUUGGCUGGCAUUCGCCCCCUUUCCUUUUAUGGACUAUAUAUGGACAGAGGGGCGCCCAUGUCAUUUAUUGAUGAUGCGCACCCCGUCAUUUCAUUGAAUUGUAACGACGUACAACUUUUAACAAUGGAUCUCUUGGCUCUU